Massilia sp. JS1662 is the source of this 181-nucleotide non-coding RNA. Lineage: Bacteria; Pseudomonadati; Pseudomonadota; Betaproteobacteria; Burkholderiales; Oxalobacteraceae. The record is from Rfam.
UCUACCCUGCGGUGUUCGAGAUUUGCCAUAUAUUCCUUGAACCAUUCUUUCGCAUAGGUUGUGGAACAUGUUUGGUGGGCGCGAUCGUCGCUAGUUCGACGAACCCGAAAUUGAACUGACUACGACCACCUUGAGCCAUCAGGUUCGGGAUGCCGGCAAAAACGGCACAGGCGGGGAUAUA